GUGAUCAACAUACUAUUUUAAUUUGGCAGACUGAUGAAGUAUCUUUGGCAGCAUGAAAUUUUGAAAACUUCUUAAAAAACCCGAGAGACACCAAACCACAAUGCAACACAACAUACCAAACUGCAAACGGCAACACAGGUUUCGCAAGUUUGCCACAGAUGAUCCCCAGCAAAGUUUUAAAUUUAUAAAAACUAUAACCAGGAGCAGCUCAAUUCAGACUAAGGUUUAUCAGUUCGCUUAAAUAAGGUGUCCAAUACCGACGAUGUACCACUCAAGACAAGGUUUCUACAUAAACAGUAGCUCAACACCGCAGCUCCAGCUGGUAUAUAUUUUUUAUCAGGUAAAGAGGAGCCCAGCAUAAAGCAAUCGACACGCGAAAUC
Molecule: long non-coding RNA, 381 nt
Filed under: Triticum aestivum (bread wheat)
Lineage: Eukaryota; Viridiplantae; Streptophyta; Magnoliopsida; Poales; Poaceae
Description: long non-coding RNA (TAES_LNC020920)
Source: RNAcentral